UGUGCAGUCAAUUUAGGGACCCGCUGAUACCAUCAGCCUUACAGUUUAUGGGAUGAUUCUUUCUGUUUUGCUGAUGAAGAAACUGAGGCACAGAGAAUCUGUAACUUGCCCAAGUUCCCCUUGCUGUAAGUCCUGGAGCCAGAUCUCAGGUGGAGCAGCCUCUUCCCCCAUCCCCUUCCCACAUUUUCCAAUUCAGCUGGGUCAAUUCUUUCCAAGUACGUGUUUCUCUCCCCUAUACCUCAUUUCUGAAAAAAGGAAAACUGGAAUUUAACUUCUUUCAUCUAAUACAUUUCCUCACAACAUGCUGCCAGCAUCAUAUUCUGGCCACUCACUAUUAAAGUGAGAUGCCUUUUUUUUUUUUUUUUUUGAGACAGGGUCUUGUUCUGUCACCCAGGCUGGAGUGCAGUGGUGAUUAUAGAUCACUGCAACCUCAAACUCCUGGGGUCAAGUGAUCUUCCUGCCUCAGCUUUCCCACUAGUUGGAACUCUAGGCACACAUCACCAUUUCUGGCUAGUUUUUUUGUUUUUCAUAGAGACAAGGUCUUGCUAUGUUGCUCGGGCUGGUUUUGAACUUCUGGCCCCAAGCAAUCCUCCCACCUAGGCCUCCAAAAGUGCUGGGAUUACAGGAGUGAGCCACUUAGGCUAGCCCUGAAAUGCUUUUGUUUUUGUUUGUGUUUUUUGUUUUUUAAUGAAAAUACAGGACAUGGAGAUGUGGAAAGACACCUUGCUUUAUUACUGUUGUUAUUAUUAUUAUUACUACAGUAUAAUUCAUGUAUCACAAAAUUCACGAUUUUUAAGCAUACCUUUCAGUAUUUUUUACUAUAUUCCAAAAGUUUGCAGCCAGCAGCACUACCUAAUUCCAAAAUAUUUUCAUAAUGCCAAAAAGCAUGCCUGCACCUAUGGGCUGUCACUCUGCAAUUCCCCCCUUCUUGCAGUCUCUGACAACCACUAAUCUACUUUCUCUAUAUAUAGAUGUACUUGUUCUGGGCACUUCCUCUAUAUGGAAUAACAAAUUGUGGCAUUUUGCAUCUGCUUCUCAGCAUAGUGUCCUCAAGUUUCAUCCUUUUUAGCCUGCAGCAGUACUUCAACAUUUUAUGGCCAAAUAAUAUUCCACUAUAUGGUUAUACCUAAUUUUGUUUAUUCAUUUAACAAUGUUUUCACUUUUUAACUAUUAUGAAUAAUGCUGCUAUGAACAGCUUUGUACAUGUUUUUGAGUGAACAUCUGUUUUUCAUUUUUUUGGUUAUAAACCUAGGAGUGCAAUUGCUGCAUCAUAUAUCACUUUAUGUUUAACUUUUUUAUGUUUAAUUUUUUUAUGUUUAACUUCUUGAGGAACUCACACACUGUUUUCCAACCUCAGUGGCUAUGCUACUUUACAUUCCCACUAGUAAUAUAUGAGAAUUCCAUAUUCUCCAUAACUUUCCAAACAUGUAUUGUCUUUAUUUUUUUCUUAAGUCAUACUAAUGGGUGUAAAGUGGUAUCUCAUUUUGGUUUGAAUUUACAUUUUCCUAAUGAUGAAAAACAUCGAACAUCUUUGCAUGUGCUUCUUGGCCAUUUGUGUGUUUCCUUUAGAGAAACCUCUACUCACAACUUUUCUCCCAUUGUUAAAUGUGGUUGUCUUUUAUUGCUCAGUUAUAUGAAUCCCUUAUAUACUCUAGGUAUUAGACCCUUGUCAAAUACAUAAUUUGGAAAUAGUUCUCCCAUUAUGUGGAUCAUCUUUUCACUUCCUUGACAAUGUCCUUUGAAGCAUACAAGUUUUUUAUUUUAUGAAGUCCAUUUAUCUAUCUAUUUUGGGGUUGUUUGUGCCUUCUUAAAAAAUGUCUAAUCCAAAGUCACAAAGAUUUGUACCUAUGUUUUCUUUAAUACAUCGUUUUUUGAAUGAGAACUUUCCUGGGUUUUAGUGGAGGGUGGACAUUGUUUAUUUAUGCCUUCUGUCCAUUACUGAUAUUUCUCCUGAUUGUUAUUCAUAUGCUCACCACCCCUCCAUGGAGCAUCCGUGGCCUGUAACAGAGCUCUGGGGACCGAUAUCCUUCCACUGACUUUGGCACUGGUGAGAGCCCUGGUCAUGUGGUUCAGCUUGGCCUUAACCCGACCCAGUUGCACAUAUUCUUCAGGGCCUUUAGAAUUGAAGUUGAGAGGCUCUCUGAGAACGCUUGCCAGCCCAUGCUGUUCUAAGGCUGGAGCAAACUUCUACCGUCUAUUCCAGACAGAGGGGACCACAGGAGUUGGACUCAGUCAAGACAUCUCUGGUGUUAGAAAGUAGACCUGCUUCAGGAUUUGGGGAAGAUUGUUCAAUAUGAACUACGUCCUCCCUAAUUAUUUUUACUAUAUGUGUGACUUCUUUCUAGAAACAAAGGAAGAAUAUUUAUGUUAGAAUAUUUUGUCUAUUCUUUGUCAAUCGUUGUUUGUCUACAAUUUUAACGUGGAUUAAGGAGAGCUCAGUGUAAAUAUAUUCUUAACAAUUAAUUAUGGUCCAUGUCCACUGCCAUGCAAUCAUAUUUAAAUCUAUGAACUAUCCUGUUACUUAGGUAUUAUCCUGCUCCUGAUGAGAAAACAAACUCAGAAAGAUUGCAAAAUUUCCCUAGGUCACAAAACUAGUGAAGAGAGGAAUAAGAAUUAGAAACCAUUUCCUUUUGGCCUUCAAAGCUAACCGUGUACCAUUAGAUCAAACUGAUUUACAUACUUUUGCUGGAAUUAGUCUCAGAGUUUGUGGUUCUCGCUUGAUUUUCCCAAGGAAACUGUGCCACUUUAAUAUCAUUUCAAACUUUGAAAUUUAAAACUUUUUUAUUAUACUUUUUUGUCUUUGUUCUAUUCCAUUGCUUUUGGUUUCUUCUCAACUGAUCCCUCUUAUUUAUAUGCUAAAUAUUUGUUACCUAUAUUCUGUCAAUUUUCACAUUUUUGAGUGUUUUCUCUCUCUUUGUUGUAUGCUAACAGUUCUUCACUGAGGUAUAAUUUGCAUAGAGUAUAUUGCAAAAAACCUAAAGGUACAGCUUAAUAAAUUUUGACAUAAUUAUACAUUAUAUAAUAACACCCAGUUCAAGACAGACAACAUUUUCCUCCAUGCCACAAAGUUCUGAUGUGGUCCUUGCAAGUCAAUACUCAUCCCCCAAAGGAAGAAUGUAUUCUGAAUGUUGUCACUGCCUUAGUCCCUUUUUGUUGCUAGAAAGGAAUACCAGAGGCUGGGUAAUUUAUAAAGAAAAGAGGUGCAUUUUGCUCAUAGUUCUACAGGCUGCACAAGAAGCAUGGCACUCGCAUCUGCUCCUAAUGAGGGCCUGAGGCUGCUUCCACUUGCAGCAGAAGGUGAAAAGGAACCAGUGUGUGCAGAGAUCAUAUGGUGAGAGAGGAAGCAAAAGAGAGCAAGUAAAGGUGACAGACACUUUUUAAUAACCAGCUCCUACAGGAACUAAGAGAGUGAGAAUUCACUCACUACCUUCUCCCAAGGUGGGGAUCAACCUAUUCAUGAGGGAUCCACUCCCAUGACCCAAACACCUCCCAUUAAUCCCCACCUCCAAUACUGGGGACCACAUUUAAACAUGUGAUUUGGAGGGGACCAAUAUCUAAACUAUAGCAACCACUAUAGAUUAAUUUUGCUUAUUCGUGUGCUUCACAAAAAUGGAAUCAUUUUGGCCGGGCCUGGUAGCUCAUGCCUGUAAUCCCAAGACUUUGUGAGGCUGAGGCAGGCAGAUCACCUGAAGUCAGGGGUUCGCAACCAGCCUGGCCGACAUGGCAAAACCCUGUCUCUACUGAAUAUACAAAAAUUAGCCGGGUGUGGUGGCAGGUGCCUGUAAUCCCAGCUACUUGGGAGGCUGAGGCAGGGAAAAUUUCUUGAACCCAGGCGGCAGAGCCGAGAUCGUGCCACUGCACUCCAGCCUGGGAGACAGAGUGAGACUCUGUCUCAAAACAAUAACAAAAUGGAAUCAUUUAGUAUGUUCUCUUGUUUUGACUUCUCUUUACUCAGGUGGGUAUAUAUGCCACUAAUUUGUUUGAUUGUGUUUUUUCCUUGUUUCAUUUUGUUUUGGCCAAGUAAUAUCCUAUUGAUGGUAUGACUAUCAUACAAUUUAAUAUCCAUUUUUCUGAUGGGAGACAGGUUUACUUGUUGGCUACUGUGCAUAAGUAACUAUGAAUAUUCUCAUACAAUUACUUCUGUGAAGAUACAUACUUAUUUUCCUGGGUAUCUAUAGCUAGGGAUAGAGUUGCUUGGUGAACGGGUAGAGAAACAGGUUUACUUGUUGGCUACUGUGCAUAAGUAACUAUGAAUAUUCUCAUACAAUUAUUUCUGUGAAGACACAUACUUAUUUUCCUGAGUAUCUGUAACUAGGGAUGGAGUUGUUUGGUGAAUGGGUAGAAAACAGGCACAGAGUUUUGCAAAGUAAUUGUAUUAUUUUACAUUUCUGUGAAAGAUGUAGGCCAUUUCCAGUCGCUCUACAUUUCCACACACUUAAUAUGUUCAGUUUUUUAAAUAAUAGCCAUUCUACCAGGUGUGUAGUGAUAUCCUAUUUUGGUUUUCUCAUGCCUAAUGUUCAUUUAGAUGUCUUCUUAUGGAAAAUAUCUUUUCAAUUUUUUAUGUUCAUUGAUACACUGGGGUGUUUGUCAUUUUCUUUGUAAACUAUAGGAGUUCUUUAUAUAUUUUGAAUGAGUCCAUUUAUAUAUACAUAUUUUUUGCUGUAUUAUAUAGCAAAUAAUUAUUCCUGGUCUACAGAUAGCUUUUUAGUUGUUAAACAACAACAUAAUAAGCAGAAGGUUUUCAAAAAUGAAGUGCAAUUCACUUGAUUUCUUACUGUGGAAAGUGCUACAGUAUCUAGUCUAAGAAAUAUUUUCCUAUAUCAAGUUCAUGAAACUAUUUCCUCUUUUUCCUUUACAAGGUUUCUAAUUUUAACUUUCACAUCUUAAGUUAAUUUCAAUGUAUGAUGGAGAGUGGUUGUUAAUAUUAACUUUUUAAAACAAUAAAUAUUAUUUCACUCAAAAUCGUUUUACUUAAAAGUCUUUCAUUUCCCCAAUGAAGGGCAUUGGUGUCUUUGUUUUUAAAACAUUUAGAAGUGGCGGUGCGAGCAUGUUCUCACUCAUGGGUGGGAAUUGAACAAUGAGAACACUUGGACACAGGGCGCAGAACAUCACACACUGGGGCCUGUCUUGGGGUGAGGGCUGGGGGAGGGAUAGCAUUAGGAGAAAUAUCUAAUGUAAAUGACGAGUUAAUGGGUGCGGCAAACCAACAUGGCACAGGUACACCUAUGCAACAAACCUGCACGUUGUGCGCAUGUACCCUAGAACUUAAAGUAUAAUAAUAAAAAAUAUAUAUACAUAUAUAUAAAAAGAAGUGGCGG
RNAcentral lists this long non-coding RNA (5318 nucleotides) under Homo sapiens (human). RNAcentral describes it as "HSALNT0295041". Lineage: Eukaryota; Metazoa; Chordata; Mammalia; Primates; Hominidae. The record is from RNAcentral.